RNAcentral lists this ribosomal RNA (2523 nucleotides) under Triticum aestivum (bread wheat). RNAcentral's name for it is "partial small subunit ribosomal RNA". Lineage: Eukaryota; Viridiplantae; Streptophyta; Magnoliopsida; Poales; Poaceae. The record is from RNAcentral.
AUGGCCAAUCGAUUUGUUGUUGAAUGGUUGACUUCCGCUGUCUUAAGAGUUCUUGAACCUUUUGCCUGCCUGGGCAUCUCACUUUCUUGCUGCAUGUUGAUUUCUAAGAUUCUAAGCUCCCUAGGAAUGAUGACUUCAGUGCCUAUCUAUAAGAGUAAGAACAUCACAACCAGACUCCGCGUCCCGCCAUCGCUGGGCGUACGCCGCUACGAUCUGCUGCUGCAUGUGGACCGUGUGGAGGACUGGACCCCGCUCUCGCCGCGCUCUUCGCACUCGGGCCAGAGCGGGAUCCCCUCCUCCGACGACGACGACAACCGCCCCCACCCGCGCGUCAUCGAGCCGGGCUCCUGGACGGGAGGUGUCGAAGAUGGCCAGGUGCUGGCUCGUCGCCCCGAGGCUUGGCUGGCCACUGCCGCUUGCCGAGCGGCCCCUCGGGCGAACCGGCACGACCACGAUGAGGAUGGCUCCGGCGACCAGCGACGUUCAUGGCGUGACGCGUUCCUGGGCACCUCUUGCCAUGCCAAGGGCAAGUCCACUGAUGUCGUCGAGGCAACGCCACGGCGGCGCAGCAGGACUCCGGCAGGCAGGAGGCACGACGACCAGGUGCGUGGGCGCGCCAAGAGCAAGAUGGCGACCGAGGCUCCGCCUCUUCGGGCCACCCCACCGCUUCCUCUCCGCCAGACAACGGUGGCCCCGCGCUCGGAAGCCCAUGAGAUGGGCCCCGUGGCCGCCUUCUUCUCCUUCCCUGGUGGUCACGCGCUCUUCCCCCCGCCGCGCACGGACGUCAUGCAGUUAGAGAUCGAGAAUGCCAUGCUCGACGCCCUCAACUCCCCGCUGGCCUUUGAAGAUGGUAGACGCUCGCCCCCGCAUGCCCGCACGCGCUCUGGUGUGAUGGAAGAAUUCCACGAAGACGACGACAUCCUCCCGUUCAUCGCCGACCUCUCUGCCCCGCUGUCUAGCCCCUGCAUCUGCUCGCCGGCGGCGGCCGUGGUGGGAUUCCAUGUCGACGCGAUCACCCACAAGGUCGACAGUCUGCAGAUUGGAGUGACGCACGACAAUGGUUCUCCCAAGGCAACAGACGGUAACAACAGUGAUGGUGCACUAGAGCUCUUCGCCCCGGUGCCCCAGGCCAUGCUGCCCAGCCCCCCGGCGCGGCCGCACCCUUCGGCCCCUCCCAAGGUGCGGGCCACCUCGGCACCUUCGCGACGCAGCGCUCGGCAGGCAGCGGCGGGCUGUGCUGUUCCAGUUGCGCAGCGAGCGGCGAUGCGCCUCAUCCAGGAGCUCGGCGGGCUCGGACCCAAGGACAAGAUGACGCCCAAAGCUGCUACUGAUCUUCUCAAGCGUUUCCAGGAGCCUCUCUCCAACAGUGACAUCGCCGCCAUUGCCAAGCUCACUGGCUUGGACUGUGAGGCCCUAAAGAUCGCUGCCGGAAUGGCCGGAGCGAGUGGCGAGGUAGCUAUGUCAGUCGGCGAAGCGAAAACCCCUGUCUCCAUGGUUGAUACAAACUUUAGAAUCAUGUACUGGAACGUGCGGGGACUAAACUCCCCUGCAAAGCGCUCGGCCGUCUGCGAGGUAGCAUUCGCAACAGGAUUUCAAUCCUUAAUUUGCAGGAAACUAAGAUCGAAUCAUGCAACAGGUACUCGAGGCGGGGCAGCAAUUUUUUGGGAUAAGCAAGUAGUCGACAUAGUUUCACACAUGAUCGCUAGCUUCUCCAUCACAGUUAGGGUUCAAAUUGUCGGAAGCAGCGAGUUCUUCUGGAUGAGAACAGUCUACGGGCCGGUAGAGGAUGAGCAGAAAGAGAAUUUCCUUUCUGAACUUGCAAGCGCGGCCCCUCCCACCAUCGACAAAGUUUUUUGCAAUUUAGCAUGGGAAAACUUGUUUCCCGACGUGCUACUUACUGCGGCCUCUACAUCCUUCUUCGAUCACUGCCCCCUCCUACUAGCCAAUGGUGCGCCGCUAGUUAGGAAAGCUAGGUUUAGGUUCGAAAAUUUUUGGCCAAAAUUUCCGCACUUCCAUGAGACAGUGAAGCACGCAUGGGAUCGGCCUAUGAAUCAUGACUGCCCAUUCAUUCGCAUCGAUAGAAAGCUGCAGAGGGUUGGGGCAGACCUGAAAAUCUGGAGUAGAUCGCUCUUCGGAGGUGCCAAGAUGCAGUUUCACAUUGCAAAUACAGUGAUUUUGCAAUUGGACUUGGCGCAGGAGGCCAGACACCUGACGGAGCAGGAGCGCUUGUUGCGUAAGCAGCUUAAACUUAAGGUGAUUGGGCUGCCAGCCAUCGAGAGGGCCAGAAAGCGGCAAGCUUCCAGGAUCAUGUGUCUCAAAGCUGGCGAUGCAAACUCAAAAAUUUUCCAUGCAAAAAUCAGAGCAAGGAGGAGGAAGAACUACAUUCACUCGAUCAGGGUGGGCAACACCAACAUCACUGAACAUAAGGAGAAGGCCUCAGCCGCGUGCGAUCACUUUACUGAAGUUAUGGGAAGGAGCCGGCAGCGCACCUGCACCAUAAACUGGGACGAACUGCACCUAUAG